Molecule: long non-coding RNA, 1919 nt
Filed under: Marmota monax (woodchuck)
Lineage: Eukaryota; Metazoa; Chordata; Mammalia; Rodentia; Sciuridae
Source: RNAcentral
AGCCCCCUUUAUUUAUUUAUACGUGGUGCUAAGAAUCAAACCCAGUGCCUCACACACGCCUGGCAAGUGCGCUGCUGCUGAGCCCCAGCCCUUUUUGUUGUUGUUGUUGUUUUGUUUUCUUAUGUCAAGUUCAUAUCAACACAAAAUGAGUUGGAGAGCAGGGUGUGGUGGUGCACGCCUGUAAUCCUACCAGUUUGGGAGGACUGCAAAUUAGAAGCCAGCCUCAGCAACUCAGCAUGACAGUCUCAAAAAAUAAAAAGGGCAGGGAUUGUGGCUUAGUGGUAAAGUACCCUGGGUUCAAUCCCCAGUACCAAGACAAAUAAAUUAGAUUAAAUUAUAUCACAGAUUGGGGAUGUAGGUCAUGUAUAGUGCAUUUGCCUAGCAUGUACAAGGCUCUGGGUUAAAUCCCUAUUACCACCAAACAAAGAUUGGAAUUCUGGAUUUCUAAAAUGUUUAGUAAAAUUUUCUGUAAAACUAACUUGGCAUUUCUUAAGGAGGUGACUAGAUUUUGACUUAGAUUUUUGUUUUGUUUUUGUGAUGCUGGGAAUGGAAUCCAGAGCCUUGUACAUGCCAGACAGGUGCUUUUCCACUGAGUUACACCCAGCUCUGAACUUUUAGUGGUGAUAGAUUAGUAAGGUUUCCUGUUCUUGAGUCAGUUAUACUCUCAAGGAAAAAUACUUCCAUAUUUUCUCAUUUUAAGUAUGGCUUCAAAUCUACUGGCACAAGUUAUCUGUAGACUUACCUUAUGUUUAUAAGGUAAAUCUGUAUCCAUAGUUAUUUCCUUUUCAUAUCAAAUAUCAUUUAUGCUUUCUCCUUGUAUCCCUGUCACUCUUGGCAGAAGUUCAUUAUUAGUCUCUUCAAAGCACCAGCUUUUUGCCUUCAUUCCCAUUCAUUAGUACCUGUUUCUAUUUCAUGAAUUUUGGCUCUUGUCAUAUUUUCCACUUACACCCCUUUGGGCUUAUUCUGUAGCUCUUCUCCCCACAUUUGUAGUUGUACUUAGCUCCUAGUUGUUCAGCUUUUCCUCCUCCAAACCAAACAUGAGAAUUUUCAAACUUAAAUAAAGGUUGAAUUGUAAAAUAAUGCCCAUAUCCCUUCAACAGAGUCAGCUAAGAGCAUUUUGCCAUAUUCUAUUUAUACACACAGCAUUGUUACUUUUAGUUAAUAUCUCUUUAGUUACUUUUAAUUUAGAAGAAACCCCUUAACUUUUUUCUUUAUAGAAUUGGCUAUUUUGACAAGCUCAAUCACCCGACAGAAAUAUCCGGUGUUGGAUUUGUAUGAUUGCUUUUGCGUGCUUAGAUUUGAGACAAACAGCUUUAGCACCAACAGCACAGGACCAAGGUCUUACUGCACCUCUUGAUAUAAAAGUAUGGUGUCCUGUUGUUUCUGAGUGACUACUCUAGGUAGUGCAAGUAAGGGACAUCACAUGCUUCAGGAGGAGAGGUCUGGUUACAGCAGAUACUGAUUUUAAUCACCUGGGAAAAGGGGGUGGCUUCUAAACUUUUUCCAUGUUGUUAUGGUGGAUAUGAGGUAUCCCCCAAAAGCUCCUGCUAAUGCAGGAUUAAUCAGAGGUGAAAGGUCAGAUUACAAGAGCUGUAAUCUAAUCGGUCCAUCUUAUUUGGACAGACUAGGUGGUCAUUGUAGGCAGGUAGGGUGUGACUGGAGGAGCGGGUCACUGGGGGCAUGACCUGGAAGGGUGCCUCUUCCCUGUGGACCUUCCCCCUUUUCUCUCUGCUUCCUGGCUGCCAUGAGGGGAGCAGCUUCCCUUCCCUACACCCUGCCCCCAUGAUAUUCUGCCUCACUGUAGGCCCAGAGCUAUGGAGUCAGCCACUUAUGGACUGAGACCUCUGAUCAUGAACCAAAAUAAACUUUACCCUGUCUAAGUUGUUCUUUUAAUGUUUUGAUCACAGUGACACAAAAGC